Molecule: ribosomal RNA, 253 nt
Filed under: uncultured bacterium
Lineage: Bacteria
Description: partial 16S ribosomal RNA
Rfam family: Bacterial small subunit ribosomal RNA
Source: RNAcentral
CACGUAGGAGGCGAGCGUUGUCCGGAAUCAUUGGGCGUAAAGAGCGCGCAGGCGGCUUGGCAAGUCGGGUGUGAAAUCCCGGGGCUCAACCCCGUGACUGCAUCCGAUACUGUCAGGCUAGAGGUAGGUAGGGGAGAUCGGAAUUCCUGGUGUAGCGGUGAAAUGCGUAGAUAUCCGGAGGAACACCAGUGGCGAAGGCGGGUCUCUGGGCCGAUACUGACGCUGAGGAGCGAAAGCGUGGGGAGCGAACAGG